Molecule: long non-coding RNA, 668 nt
Filed under: Mytilus galloprovincialis (Mediterranean mussel)
Lineage: Eukaryota; Metazoa; Mollusca; Bivalvia; Mytilida; Mytilidae
Source: RNAcentral
AUUUGACAACCAGAUGCCCCGCAGGGCACAGCUUUAUACGACCGCAGAGUUCGAACCCUGAACAGUUGGGUCAAGUAUGGACACAACAUUCAAGCUUGAUACAGCUCUGAAUUUGGAUUGUGAUUGAAUAGUUGACACAACAUAGGUUUCUGACACAAUGAAUGUGGUCUAAGAACUUAAACUUAAAAAUUUUAAAUUGGACAUUUACCUAUUAUGGUCCAAUAUCCAAAAUCUUAAUACAUGGUUGGAUUCAGCAUAUCAAAGACCCAAGAAUUCAAUUUUUGAUGAAAUCAAAUAAAGUUCAAUUUUGGACCCUUUAAACCUCAAUGUGGACCAAUUUGAUAACCGGGCCCAAAUAUCAAAAAUCUAAAUACAUGGUUAGAUUCAGCAUAUAUCAAAGAACCCCAUAUAUUCAAUUUUUGUUGAAAUCAAACAAAGUUUAAUUUUGGAUCCCGAUUUUGACCAACUUGAAAACUGGGCCUAUAAUCAACCAGAUGAUCCGCAGGGCACAGCUUUAUACGACUGCAGAGGUCGAACCCUGAAUGGUUGGGGCUAGAAUGGACACAACAUUCAAACUGGGAUACAGCUCUGAAUUUGGAUUGUGAUUAAAUAGUUGACACAGCAUAGGCUUCUGACACAGAAUGAGUGUGGUCUAAUGAACUUAAAAU